GUCGCACGGAUUGUGUGAAAAAAAUCUAAGUCCAUAACAUAAGUAUGAACGAAUUCAGACUGUGAAACUACGAAUGGCUCAUUAAAUCAAUUAUAGUUUGUUUGUUAGUAUUUGCUACUCAGAUAACCGUAGUAAUUCUAGAGCUAAUAUGUGCAACAAACCCCGACUUUUGGAAGGGAUGCAUUUAUUAGAUAAAAGGUCGACGCGGGCUUUGCCUGUUGCUCUGAUGAUUCAUGAUAACUCGACAGAUCGUACGGCUUUGUGCUGGUGACGCAUCAUUCAAAUUUUUGUGCUAUCAACCUUUGAUGGUAGGAUAGUGGCCUAUUAUGGUGGUGACGGGUGAUAGAGAAUUAGGGUUCGAUUUUAGAGAGGGAGCCUGAGAAAUGGGUACCACAUCCAAGGAAGGCAGCAGACGCACAAAUUACCUAAUCCUGACAUGGGGAGGUAGUGACAAUAAAUAACAAUACUGGGCUCUAUGAGUCUAGUAAUUGAAAUGAGUACAAUCUAAAUCCCUUAACAAGGAUCCAUUAGAGGGCAAGUCUGGUGCCAGCAGCCACGGUAAUUCCAGCUCCAAUAGCGUAUAUUUAAGUUGUUACAGUUAAAAAACUCGUAGUUGGACUUAGGGGUGGGUCAGUCGGUCCGCCUCACGGUGAGCACCGGUCUGCUCAUCCCUACUGCCAUGCGCUGCUGGCCAUAAUUAGUCGGGUCGUUCCUCCAGUGCUAUUACUUUGAAGAAAUUAGAGUGCUCAAAGCAGGCCUAUGCUUGUAUACAUUAGCAUGGGAUAACAUCAUAGGAUUUUGAUCCUAUUGUGUUUGCCUUCAAGAUCUGAGUAAUAAUUAACGAGACAGUCGAGGGCAUUCAUAUUUCAUAGUCAGAGGUGAUAUUCUUGGAUUUAUGAAAGACGAACAACUGCGAAAGCAUUUGCUAAAGAUGUUUUCAUUAAUCAAGAACGAAAGUUAUGGGCUUGAAGACGAUCAGAUACCGUCCUAGUCUCAACCAUAAAAGAUGCCGACCAGGGAUCAACGAAUGUUACUUUUAGGACUCCGUCGGUAACUUAUGAGAAAUCAAAGUCUUUGGGUUUCGGGGGGAGUAUGGUCGCAAGGCUGAAACUUAAAGGAAUUGACGGAAGGGCACCACCAGGAGUGAAGCCUACGGCUUAAUUUGACUCAACACGGGGAAACUUACCAGGUCUAGACAUAGUAAGGAUUGACAGACUGAGAGCUCUUUCUUGAUUCUGUGGGUGGCAGUGCAUGGCCGUUCUUAAUUGGGAGAGUGAUUUGUCUAGUUAAUUUCGUUAAUGAACAAGACCUUAGCCUGCUAACUAGCUACAUAGAGGUGAUCCUCCGUGGCUAGCUUCUUAGAAAGACUAUGGCCUUUUAGGCCAAGGAAGUUUGAGGCAAUAACAGGUUUGUGAUGCCCUUAGAUGUUUUGGGCCGCAUGCGCGCUACACUAAUGUAUUCAAUGAGUCUAUAGGCUUGGCCGACAGGCCCGGGUAAUCUUUGAAAUUUCAUCAUGAUGGGGAUAGAUCAUUGCAGUUGUUGGUCUUCAACGAGGAAUUCUUAGUAAGCGUGAGUCAUCAACUCGCGUUGACUAUGUCCCUGCCCUUUGUACACUCCAUCCGUCGCUCCUACCGAUUGAAUGGUCCGGUGAAGUGUUCGGAUCGCGGCGACAUGGGUGGUUCACUGCCCAUGACGUAUCGAGAAGUCUUCUAAACCUUAUCAUUUAGAGGAAGGAGAAGUCGUAACAAGGUUUCCAUGGGUGAACCUGCGGAAG
Molecule: ribosomal RNA, 1774 nt
Filed under: Gossypioides kirkii
Lineage: Eukaryota; Viridiplantae; Streptophyta; Magnoliopsida; Malvales; Malvaceae
Description: SSU rRNA
Rfam family: Eukaryotic small subunit ribosomal RNA
Source: RNAcentral